UACGUAGGGGGCAAGCGUUGUCCGGAUUUAUUGGGCGUAAAGAGCGUGUAGGCGGCCAUGUAGGUCCGUUGUGAAAACUCGAGGCUCAACCUCGAGACGCCGAUGGAAACCAUGCGGCUAGAGUCCGGAAGAGGAGAGUGGAAUUCCUGGUGUAGCGGUGAAAUGCGCAGAUAUCAGGAAGAACACCCGUGGCUAAGGCGGCUCUCUAGUACGGUACUGACGCUGAGACGCGAAAGCGUGGGGAGCGAACAGG
This 253-nucleotide ribosomal RNA is filed under the name uncultured bacterium. RNAcentral describes it as "partial 16S ribosomal RNA". It matches the Rfam family "Bacterial small subunit ribosomal RNA", at positions 524 to 776 of the family's 1533-position model. The record is from RNAcentral.